This 223-nucleotide ribosomal RNA is filed under the name Pteridomonas danica. RNAcentral's name for it is "partial Bacterial small subunit ribosomal RNA". It matches the Rfam family "Bacterial small subunit ribosomal RNA", at positions 1311 to 1532 of the family's 1533-position model. The record is from RNAcentral. Lineage: Eukaryota; Dictyochophyceae; Pedinellales.
CUCGACCCCAUGAAGUCGGAAUCGCUAGUAAUCGCGUAACAGCAUGACGCGGUGAAUACGUUCCCGGGCCUUGUACACACCGCCCGUCACACCAUGGGAGUUGGUUCUACCCGAAGCUGGUGCGCUAACCUUUUAGGAGGCAGCCAACCACGGUAGGAUUAGCGACUGGGGUGAAGUCGAAACAAGGUAGCCGUAGGGGAACCUGCGGCUGGAUCACCUCCUU